GAGCGUUCUCAGGGCGGGGUGGAACUCCCCACCGGCGGUAAGCAUCUGUAUUGUGCAAGCCCGCGAGCGCCUCUCUUAUGAGGGGGUCAAGCAGAUCAGGUGAAAUUCCUGAGCCGACGGUUAAAGUCCGGAUGGAAGAGAACGUGC
This 147-nucleotide non-coding RNA is filed under the name Roseobacter sp. AzwK-3b. Its description in RNAcentral is "FMN riboswitch aptamer (RFN element)". It matches the Rfam family "FMN riboswitch aptamer (RFN element)". Rfam says of the family: The RFN element is a highly conserved domain that is found frequently in the 5'-untranslated regions of prokaryotic mRNAs that encode for flavin mononucleotide (FMN) biosynthesis and transport proteins. This element is a metabolite-dependent riboswitch that directly binds FMN in the absence of proteins. In Bacillus subtilis, the riboswitch most likely controls gene expression by causing premature transcription termination within the 5' untranslated region of the ribDEAHT operon and precluding access to the ribosome-binding site of ypaA mRNA. RNAcentral also lists the same sequence under 1 other name. Lineage: Bacteria; Pseudomonadati; Pseudomonadota; Alphaproteobacteria; Rhodobacterales; Roseobacteraceae. The record is from Rfam by way of RNAcentral.